Molecule: long non-coding RNA, 11850 nt
Filed under: Sarcophilus harrisii (Tasmanian devil)
Lineage: Eukaryota; Metazoa; Chordata; Mammalia; Dasyuromorphia; Dasyuridae
Description: lncRNA (ENSSHAG00000025353.1)
Source: RNAcentral
GUUUUAAAAGUGAAGAAUCAUUUUAAUGAUCUCCAUGAAUAUAAAUUUAAUUUGAGAAUAUUAGAAUAAAUAUUUGCAUUACAUAUGCAUAAAUUGUAUAUUAUAUAUAUAUUUGUGUAUAUGUGCAUACAUAUAGGCAUAUGUAUAUGACCAAAACUAAGUGGUUUAAUCCAAUUAUCCAAUAAAUAUUUAUUGAUUUAUCUUGUUUUCAAAAGCAUUUAACUAAUGAAUUAAUACAUUUUCCCCACCAAAACAAGGCAUUAACUAAAAAGCAAAUCAUUCCAUUCAUUAACAUAAGAACUGUCUCUGCCAGUGCUGGGGUUGGGGGUGGAGUGAGGUGUGAAGGAGAUAAGAAUAAAAAUUUUUUGUCACAAGAAACCUGAAAGAUAAAAAAGGGCUAUUUUAAAUUUUAUUCAAAAGCUUCAUAUAGAAAACCUAUAAAAAUAAAAUAGAACCUGAACUAUUAAGAUGUAGAACAGAAACUCUGAAGUUAGAGCACAAUUAAACAAGAUUUGUCUUAGAAGACAAGUAUUUUGCUCUUUGGUGUGUAAGGAAACAUUACAAAUACUUGCCUAAGAGUCUAAAAGUGUUUCCGGGGAUUGUGUCAAUGUGCACUUUGAAAUUUGUGACAAUACAACACAAACGUUUCUACAAAACCAAAUUUAAUAUACAACAAGCACUCACCAUGUAAACACAUUUUUUUUAAAAAAUCUUAUUAUAAUAUUCCAAGAAUCACUUACAGGCUUUCAUAAAAGCAUUUUAUAUCAAGAAUCUUAAUACAGAAUGAUUUCUAUGUCAAAAUACAUUUACACUGUAAAUUGUUUAUAGAAAAAAGACACAGAGAAAUGGAGUUUGCUGGCAUUGAAUUCAAUAGCAGCAACUGCCCCUGAUAUUUUUUUCCUUCAUUUUCUACUUUAAACAUUAUCUGAAAAAAAAAAAAAAUCUCCAUCAUAAUCUAUGCUUCUACAUUUUGCCUAUGCAUUUGUUCAUUAUGUCUGCCAGUAAAACAUAGUGAUAAAUUACUAUGAUUAUUCCAUUUUAAGAUCUAUCACAUGUGCCCAGGACAGCAUUCAGGACCUCACCUCAAAGCUGUCAGCCAUGUUUGUUUUGAGAGACUCAGCACUUACAAAGCCUGUCAGUAACAUCAGUUUGGAGACAACACUUGAGGAAUUAAACAGCAGUUAUCAAAUGCAAAACUGGAAAAAAUGCACAUAAAAACCACAAGUGCAGAUUGAUCACACAAUUUUAUUAGAGUCUUUUGAACAAAUGUAUUCCUCUGUUUAAAAAUUCUUGCCAAAGAGACAUUGGAGUGUACGAUUUUCAACCCUGAGCAUUAACACUGCAUACCAAGUACGGUAGGAAAGAAGCUGGUUAAAGAUUGGAGCACUAGCACAAGCCACUGUGAUAUUCUCUAUGUGAUCAGGUUUUUACAAAAAAAUACAUAGUUUUCAAUAAAUAAUGCUUAAUUUUACAACUUUGAUACAGCAAUGUCAUACACUGUUUUUAACACACACUAAACUCUGCAUGCUAUAUAGUCUACCAGAAGACAAACUUUGCCAUGCAUUAUCUUUUUUUUUCCCCUAGUGCUAUUAAACAUUUCAUCCUCCAGUGCAUUGCCUUAGGCAGCUUUACCCUCUCUCUGUUUCACAGCAAUAGGCCAUGCACUGGCAUGCAAAACCUAAAAAGGUUUCCCCCCCACAAACCACUCAGACUUCUAAACAAAAGUAUUUUUCAGAUUUUCCCCUCCUAGACCUGGAGUAGCUAUGAAAGUAAAUUUCACGUGGCCUUGAAAAUUACAUUUUUUUUUUAAAGUGUCAUGCUGAAAAAACUGCUUUAAAACAUCAGAUGCUCCUGCCCAGUCAUCACACAGCAUUUCAGAAUGCCGUAACCACUAGGAGUCCCAGAUAGGAAAAAAAGAGGCCUCAGUUUUAAAACAGCCUAUUAAAGAAAAAUGUCACAGAUCUAAAGUAGAGACUCCAAACCCACAUUAUAUGUACAAUAAAAACUGAAUCACAAAUUAAUUAAUAAUGGCAUGUUUUUUUUUUUUUUCUCCCUUUGUGAAUCAAGGGAUGAGGAAAGUUCUUUUUGGACAUAGGGUUAAUGAAAAAAAAUGAAAAAAAAAAUUUGUGACAGAGGGUUCUGUCAUUAUUUAUUUGAUCAAAUUUCUUAUUGUCAUAUAUUAUUAUCUCUGUUAUCUUUUUUGUUGUUAUGUGGAUAUUGGAAUAAAGGAGUAGUCAGAUGAAAAAUCACGUCAAGAUCCUGGAAUAAAUUUUUUUUUCACACACUUUAAUAGUUUUUGUCAUAUUGCUUUAUUCUGUCAGUCUUCACAGCAUGGGAAAUCCAGGUUUAAGUGACUAUGAAAAAGAAAUUUGAUCAAACAAUAAGUCUAGAGCCUCCACCUUUGCACUUCCAGGUUUGCUUAAGUUGAUCUUUUAUUUUUCUCAUUGAAAACCACUCAUCCCAACCCGAUCGUAUUGCUUUAGUGGUUUGCCUUGCUUUAUAGAGAAGCCAUUCAUUUGCAAUUGUAGUCAAUCAAAACUUUCUAAGAACAUUUAAAAUAUUCCUUUCUUUGCACUGGCAGAGGUAUUGGAUCUUUUAAGAGUAUCUCUACCCAAUAAAAUUAUUACUUUUAUACAUGGAAUAUUAUGAACCUUUGUUUCCCUUUUGUAAGUCAUUUUACAUUUUCUGCACAUUUGUGCUUCUAUUGAGUAUAAAAAUAGGUCUCCUUUAAAAUUCUGUUUACUUUAAGUUCACUAAAAAACUACUUGCUUGUGAAAUUCUCUUACAAACUCACUGCAUCCACAUAAAGUAGAUAAAACUAAUUAGGCAACUAAUUGAUAUAGGUAGUGUUAAAAAAAAAAAAAAUCAGGCUACAAUGGAGAAAAAAAGGGAAAAGAUGCUAGCAUUCAAAGGAAAGGCCCGAAGUAAGUAGAAUGGAAGAGAACCCAAUCUAAAGAAUCUCCUUUUGAUCUUUAUGAUGAUUGAAGACUAGGGCUGACUUUAGGAAAGAACUGAGUUGACAUCAAAUAGCAGAAUCUGUCAGGUCAUCAAAUGUGAGGGGUACGUGGGUGGAAAAAACUGAAUGACUUGUAAGGAAUAACCAAGAUUUAAAAACAAAGUGAACCAACUGUGAACAAAACGUUGAAAUAAAUUUUUCUUCAUGGAGACAGUUGGUAAAUUUCCUGGUUAGGAUCUAUAAGGCUCAAUCUUAUUUUUUUCCAUGGGCUCAGGAUGGACAAGGGAAUUUGAAACUCAAAUUCUCAAUGGAUAUCUUUUAAAAUGGGGACUAAGAAAUAUACUGGAAAUUUCCCGAUGUUGUACUAAAGAACACUGUUCUUUUACAAAUAAACUGAUGAAUUUCUCAAUAAAUUGCUUUCAACCACCUUUCUACUCUAAGAAAAAAUAACAGUUUAUCUUUGCCAUGGAGAGAUAUUAAUACCAAGAUACCUGCUAAAAUCAGGAUAACCAGUAGAAACAGGUUAUAAUAUAAUAUAAUAAAAAUGAGAGAGCAAAAACAAAACCCACAAAAAGCCCUCUCCAAAUAGUUAAUAGCAAUAUAUAUGCACAAAAUUAAAACUUCAAAAUAUAUACACAUAUUUCAUUAAUCAUCAGUGACCAGUGAAUAAAAAUGUUAAGAGUGACUAUACAGUCAAAUUGAGUGACAACUUUAAAAUUGAGCAAAUCAUCUGCUUCAACCACCAGAUUCCUUGGAUCAAAGGAAAAAAAAAAUCAAUUCUAAAAUGGGGAGAAAUAGCCAACAAACUUUCUUGUACUGUACCUGAUAUAAAAAUGUUCAGCAUAUAUAUAUAUGUAUAUAUAGGAAUGUAUAUAAGGACUAUAGUUUUGUUUCCUUUCAAAAGCAAGAAAAAGGCAAACUCCAAUCUUUUGACAGUAUUGUUUCCUUUUACUGAAAAACAAUAAAAUUUUACCUGACUCUGCCAUGCAUGCAUCUUUAAAUCAUUUCCCUUUGAUUAACAUUAAACAGAACAUCUCCUCCAAGAGUAUAGUCAUUUUUCCCCUAGACAAGAAACAUCCUAGUAAUAAUUCACCAUCUGAACAUAGCCAUUCCUAAAUUACAAAUUAUUUGCAAAGCACAGUCUUUAAGUAAACUGCCUUUAUUAUUAUUUUUUAAAUAAAGGGGAUGCAUAUCAGAAAGAAAGGACAGGAGUAAUACUUCCACACAUCCUCUAGGAAUAGUUUAAAGAAUUACUAAGAGAACUCUGGCUCAGUUUUUUUGUUUUUUUCUGUUUUAAAGAUGGAAACCUGGUCAAGCAAUGUCAUCAUCACUGUGAACUAGUUAUAAACAGCAGGAACCCACUGGCUAGACUGCAGUGCACUCGAGUAUACAUCCCCUCCCCCCCAGGAGAGAUAAAUGUUAAGAUUUUAACCUACAUUGUCAAUAUGGGGGAAAUAUGACUUAUAAUGUAUGAGACCAAAAAAAUGAAAAUACAAGAAAUUUUUAUUGAAAACUAUCCAGUGCUAAGGAUACCUUAUUAGUCGUAGUUGUUUUAGACAUUCAGAAAAGAAUUAAGAAUGAUUUUUCACAAUGCAAUCAUCAAACAGUAUCAUCUAAUAGCAGUUAAUAGGGCUCACAUGUGCCUCACAUGGCUCUGUCCUGAGCUCUAGCUGACCGUGAUUUGGAUUUCCAAUAGAGUAUUUCUAAGUUUAUUAGCAAAAACUUGAUAAAACAGCUUUUAUUUAGAACCACGAGUAUGCCUUCCCCACCCCCUUUAAUAAUUGAGCAAAUUAUUGACCAUUUCAUUAUUUUGGAGCAGAUAUUUCACCACAGAAAAAGGCGAGUCAUCUCUGAAACCUAAAAUACAUGCAAGGUAUUGGUUCAAAAUAUUACAUUUCAUAUGCCUUACAAAUUUGGAUGCAGGAUUUCUAUUUUCAGCAAGAGUUUAAAACUGUAGCAGUGGGACUGCCACUAAAAAUUACCAGCACAGUGAAUUGUCAUUGUAAACCGCUGGCUCAUUUACUUGUGGACUGACUGACCAAUGACUACAUUAGUCUAUCAUUUGGCAAAAAAAAAAAAAAAAAAAAAAAAAAAAAGUAAACAUUUUAAGAAAAACAGUUCUGUCUUGCGAACCAUGUUCACACUAUCAGCCUUUUCUUCUUCCGUGUAUACUACUGAACUCUGACGGCUCAUAGAAAGAAAAUCUACGAGAAAGAGAAAUGGAGGGAAUCUGUCUUUUUUUUCCCCCUCUCUGCUCCUCCCAAGAGAAUGGAGGGUGGGAUGGAGGAGGGGCGCGAGCGAAAGGCCAGCACACAGGCCCGACUGUAAAGCAAGGAAGAUUGGGAGGGGAGGAGGGGAGAGAAAGCCCCUUUGGUAUAGCAGCUCCUAGUUGGAUUUGGACGCUUCUAUUUAGUCUAGCCAAGUUUCAAUAAACCUGGAAGGAGACACAUUUUGGAAUGAUUUUUCAGACAGUUUAAUUUUUUAAAAAAGGUAAGAAAACCCUCUCUUAGAAUGAAGGAUGUUGCACUGGGUUUCUCAAAAAAAAAAAAAAUAAAAUCGUUUAAAAUCUCCCUUACUCAAAUCAUCAGACCUUGAGGCACAGCAGUGGUAGGUUUAGCUAUGCAGAGACCUAGUCUUUGCUUAUGCAGCCCUCCCGAAAACAGAGCCACUAAGAAAAAGCGGGAGGAGCUAAGCAGCCCCUGGUGGACCAAGCGUCUAUUUCUAAUUAAGCCCCCAAGAAUGAAGGGGUGAUCAGUCAGGGUGCAGCAUCAGAAGCAAAGACUAGGUGCAAGAAAGAAAGAAAAAAAUCACAGCCAACCUUCCCUACCACGUCCUCCAACUGCAGUUUGCCAUGUGGGCUGCAGAAAACUGAGCAGAGAGAACAGGGCGGGCCACGCAGGUCCCCUUAGCCAAAACAAGGACAGAGCAAAGGUGAUGGGGAGGGAAGAGAAAGAAAAAAAUCGCAUCCGAGAUGCAGCUCUUCCUAUCCUCCCCCAUUCUUUCUAGAAACACCAAUGCAAAAAUCCAGAGAAGGGAGUUUUUUUUUUUUCCCCUGUGUUCAGAGAAAUAAAGGAAUCUGUCUAUUUUUUUUUUUUUAAAAGAGAGAAAAGACUUCGGCAAAUCUUCCCUCCAAGUCCUCCGUUAUCACACACAUACCCGCCCCGAAGGUCGGUUCCCCUGGGGGGAGAAAGGGUGGGGUUAGGAGCCACAGACAAGCUCCUUCCUCCUUACAGAACCUCCACACUUUCAGUACAGGUCUGGGGAGUUUUAUCUCCCCCAUUUCCUAUUUGUUUAUUUUUCUCCUCCUCAAAGCCAAAACACAAAUUGCCCCCCCCCCCCCCGCCCCAGCCCCACCCCUCAGAGCAAAUGGUUAGCCUAGCACAUCCAUCCCCUGCAGCAGGAUGGAUGCUCCAAAGGGGGUGGGGGUUGGGGUAAGAAGGAGGCCGCCCAGUCUUACAUCAGGAGACAUGUCCCUCUAGCCUUUUUGAAAAUGCAAAGCAUGGAGGGGAAGAAGAGGGAGGAGCUGGCUUGGUCUCUGGCCCUAGCUUCUCCCCCUCCCCAGGCCCACAGCCACUGAAACCCUCCGUCCGUCACCUCCCUCCCUGAAGGCCUCUUCUUCAAACCCCGAACACUGUAACCCUUUCCCCCCAGCCCCAAAGAUACAGCUGUAUGGAGACUUUUGGAGCUGACUCUGAAUAAGCCGCGGCCGUUCUCAUCUCAUUUCGGAGUCCAAUGCUUUCCGCAUUCAUCCUUCUUCUCUAAUUUCUCUUUCUCCUCUGCCUGCCUGCCUCCACGCUGCCCAGCCUAGCCCAGGCUCGAGCAAAAGCGCCGAGACCCCGGGAUGCGCGCCCGCCGGGGGCCACGGCCACACCCCCUCCACCUCCCGAGAGCGCCCGGGCCCAUUCCAUCUCCCCUCCAUUUUAAGGGCAGAGCCCGGGAGCAAGCUACCUCCCCCGUACCCCACCUCCCUCCCUCCCCCGCCCCAGCUCCGCUCCGAGCCGCCUUCCCCAUCCAGGCCCCUAGGAGACGAGAAAAGAACCGGGCACCUAGAAAACGCCUCCCCCCCCCCCCCCCACCCCCCGCCCCCCCCCCCCCCCCCCAGCAAAGAACUGCAAUAAGCGGAUCCCGCCGGCACCCACGUCCCUUUGCAGGGGGAAAUAAUAGAAACCGCAAACCGAGCGCCCCGCCCUGGCGGGCGAGCCUGCGGGAGGCUGCGCCAGUGGAGGGCAGGUAGUUCGCUGCGCGCCCAGACUAAAUCCCCACAGCCAGCCCCACCCCCCACCCCCCGCUAAACGAACCUCCAGAAGUCACGGAACGCGCCCUUCGCUCCCCUCCGGCCCCAAGAAAAACACAUACAUCCUAAUGCGCAGAUAAGAUCACAAUAACGUGCACAAAUCGAGUCCGCUCAAAGCCUGCCCCUCCCCCCGCCAUUUCUCAGAGCCUCCGGUGCACUUGGGUUGGAUGGGUCUGGGGAGAAGGGAGAAGGCGGGAGAGCCGGGAGAAAAAGGAGAAUGGGAAAGGGGUGAGAAAAGGGAGAUAAAGAAUACUACUAGGUCAUUUUCUAAUAAGUAGCCGAAGGAAGAUGAUAAAGAAACCCGGAUAUUAUUCUCGCUCAUCAAUUUAGCACUCAAAAAGUCUGUACCAUCUUCGAAAAUGGAUAGUCCUCGCCGCUCCCUCCCCUUCCUUCCCUCUCCCCAGGUUUCACUACAAGCACAGAGCCACCUCUCUAGAUCUCUUGUUUCUGUUUGCGAGUUAGGGGCGGACAAUACGUGACACUCUCCAGCUUCACUUCCAUAGAGACUAUUGGCGAUACGAGUUUCUAUCAGUUCCAGCUGAUUUAUUAAAAUUGUCAAGAUACAGACUUUCAGCAUAAAAAAAACAGGCAAGGAUGUUGACAGUGCAUGAGUCUGCUUUGCCAUCUUUUGCUACGAAAUGUGCAGAUGGUCUGUACUUUAUUUAGAUUAUAUUGCACAAAAUGAGAAACUUUCUUUUACUAUGUGCCUUUUUUUUUUGCUAAAAAUCGAGAAUCCAGUUUCAUACCUUCCAUCUGGGGCCCCAUCCACAUAUCACAGCGUAUGAGAUACAUAAAGACCUACUAUAAUACAGUACAUAUACAAUCUUUAAACUAAGGUAACAGCUCUGAGGUCUAUAUCACCAUUUUCAAUAAAUCUUUACCUACAAAUAUUGAACAAAUCUGAACUAUAGCUGUACAAAAAGUUUUUUUUUUUUUAAAACCACAAGGCCUUUAGAUGCAAGGAUUAUUUAAAAAUUUUAAUCCUUUUAAAACCAGGACAUAACGUACCAACAUACUUGCAUGCUAAAAACAGAGGAAAAAAAGAAAUCAAAAGGGAAGAAGUGCCUGAAAGUCUUACUGAAAAAACACAGCAAGAAUGUUCCCUUUUCACUGUACAAAAAUACGCCUGAAAAUAUAUUAAUUUUUAAAAAAGACUGAGGUCUGUUAUGUAUCAAAAAUGUUUCAAUACCUUUUGUACUGAGGUCUAGGCUGUCUGGUAUUCAAUCAAGGAGGUAUAAGGGAACAAGUUACAAAAAAAAGGUUGGCAAGUAGAAAUCACAUUUGUAAAACCAUAAACAAUUUGAUCUGAAAAGUAAACUCUGAUCUUAAGUCAGUUCACAGUUUUUUUUUUGUUUUUGUAAGCGUUUGUACAGUCUGUAUUUUUUCAAGCUCCCUGCAGUUUUGUUAAGAAUCGGAUGCAUAGAAGACAUCAGUUUUCUCCCUCCAAAAUAAUAAUAAUAAUAAUAAAAAGUUGCAAUGGUCCCUUUUGUUUUUGUUUUUUUUUUUCUUUUUAAAUCAACAGUUCUGUAAGAUCUCUCAGGAAAGAAAAAGGGAAAAAAAUCCACAAACCCCCUUGAGUAACAGUUGCGCGGCCAAAAGGCUUCUUUGCAGACCGUCUUCCAGACUUCAAUCAAAGACCGACAAGCUUCAAACAGCGCCUUCCGGAGCGUCCCCCCCUCCCCCUACUCCCGCCCCCAGUCCCUUACGCCUUUGUUGCGAUCACCAAUUUCAGGGGAAAAAAUAAAAAUACAAAAAAAAAAAAAAAAUUACACAUUUUGGGAUGGGGGUGGGGAAUCACAACUCCAGGCUGGGUUUGGAACUACCUUGAGACAUGAUAAGGGAGAGGGGGAGGGGGAAAGAAUUUAAAAAUUAAAAUAAAAAACAGGAAAAAUAACCAAAAAACUACUCAUUUCUCUUAAACUCCACCAAUUUUUUUUUAUCAUCUUUUCCAAUUUCUUUGCGUCAUCAUCACAACAUCAUGAGCAUCUUCUCUUUCCCCAUCAUCAUCAAUAUUCUCAUCAUCAUCAUCAUCAUCAUCAUCAUCAUCACGAUUUCCUCUCGAACCCUGCUCCGCACUACCGGUCGAGGGAGAGACAGAGGUGCCCCCUCCCCCCCUUUUCAAUAUGUGAACACCAAGUCGGAAAAGUUCGCCUCCAACCAGUCCCCCGCGAUCAUCUCGCUCAGCUCCGGGGUACAGUAGUCGGGGAACUCAAAGUGGGAGCCCAGGCUGCCCUCGCUGAACGAAUCCAAAUCUUUAUCCACCAGGGACAGGGAUAGAUUCCCCGCCGCUGAGCCGCCCCCCAGCUGCUGCUCGGUCGCUGAGUGGGGAUUUUGGGAGAAAUUCAAGCUCAGAUCGAACAUCAGGUCGUCAGCCUCCUCGCUGCUGCUAGAACUGGAACUGGAGGAGGAGGAGGUGGAGACAGAGCGCGAGGAAGCUGGGGACAGGCUGGGCUGCUGCAGCUGCUGGGCGCUCUGCUUGGUGAUGUUUUUGAAGCUGUAGUAAAGGCGGCUGGCGCUGCCGCCCCCGCCGUGGCCCCCGGCGGAGGUCGCGCCGGCCCGGACCUCCUCGUACAAACUGGCCCCCUCGGUGGAUUCCGCCGAGCUGCUCAGCGUGGGGCUGGCGGGCACUUUGGCGACGCUGUAGCGCCGGAGCAGCUGCUGGGUCUGCUGCUGCUGCGUCUGCUGCUGCUGCUGCUGCCGCCGCCCGGGAUGCUCCUCGUCUUCUUCCUCGGGCUCCUGCUUGAUCCGCAGUUGAAGGUCGUCCUCGUCCUCCUCGUCCUCCUCGUCCUCCUCCAUGAAGACGCAUUUGACGGUUUUGCUGCAGCCGCCCGCGCCGCCCGCGCCGCUCACUUUGAGGGUGCCAAACACCAACUCCUCGCCCGCGUAGUCUCCGUGGUGGGCUGUUUUACCGGCUCCCGGCUUGGGGCAGGAUGUGGACGAGGAGGAGGUCGAAGAGGAGGACGGAGAGGUCUUCAGCUUGCUACAUUUCUUGCUGGAGCUCUUUGAGUUCUUGCUGCCGCCGCCGCCGCCGCCGCCGCCGCCGCCCCCGCUGCCGCUUCCCCCGCCGCCGCCGCCCCCGCCGGCACUCUUCUCGGGGCUCUGGCUAGCGUUAGGUUUGGACGAAGGGUCCAUUUUGGGCUUUUUCCUGGGCCUGUACUUGUAGUCGGGGUAAUCGGCCAUGUGCUUGAGCCGCAGCCUCUCCGCUUCCCGGAUAAAGGGGAUCUUCUCGCUGUCCUUAAGCAUUUUCCACCUCUUGCCCAGCCUCUUGGAUAUCUCCGCGUUGUGCAUGUCUGGGGACUGCUCCAUGAUUUUUCUCCUCUCGAUUUUAGACCACACCAUGAAAGCGUUCAUCGGCCUCUUAAUGUGGCCCGAUGCCGUUUUGCACCAGUCCGGGUCGCUUUCAUCCAGGGCUACUGGGCUACAGGCCAUGAAUUCGCCCUCCUCCGUGUCCAUCGCCUCCCGGGGCAGGUUGACCUCGCUUUCCAGGCUAUCCGCCUGCUGCACCAUGUUCGGGCGUUGUGCGUUGCGUUAAAACCCAAAGCAACUUUCUCCUGUGCGGCAAGCCCCCUCCCCCUCCCUCCCACCCCCCCCCCCACCUCCCCUUGCAAGUUGCAAAGUCCUCCGUACCCCCUUUUUCUUCUCCCCCCCUCCCCCCCGCCCCCUUCCUGCUCCAGCUGCACACAACGGCUGCGGCGGCUUAGGUGGCUGCUACCCGCUGCGGUCUUGGCGGCGGCGGCGGCGGCGGCGAGGUUUCUGAGCCGAGGCAGGCGGCGGCGGCGGCGGCGGCGGCGCAGGACCCCUCUUGCUCCGGCUUGAACGCGCUCCCUGCCGCAAUCGCCGGACCCCAAGUACUCCCAGGCGCGCGCACUGCUUCUGCAAAAAGUUGAGGGCUCUCUCCCAACUAGUUAUCAGGGUGUCAUAUGGGUGACAUCACUCCCUGAGCCAGCCAAUCGCCGGCUGUCAGCUCCUCCCCGAUCCCUUUAUUAACUCCCCUUCUCCUCCCCCUUUGCCCCGCCUGCGGGGCUUCAUCGGAAAGCUGGAGGUGGGGGGAAAGCGUGUCUAGAAAUGUGUUAUUUUAAAAUAUAUGCGUCUGUUAUGCAUCUAUGCGCUCCCUCUCCGCGCCACCGAGGCGUAUGCCUCUAUUCUCCUCCUCGCAGAGGUGGGCACGCCAAGGCGCUCACGCCCAGAGAGACUGCCCCGCGCUAGAACCGUCUCUGCCGUUGCGCUGGGACAGCCCCCCGGCCCCCACCUCAAGCCCCCUGCUUCGCUUCUCGCUCCUCCGCACCCUCCGUCCCAGCACGCGUUUUGUUAAAGGGGGCGGCGCAAGGUUGCAGAUGGUGGCUGUACAAGCUCCGGGACUAGACUCUGAUUUCCAUUUGCCUGGUAGCAUCCGACGGGGUGAUUUCAGCUUUCCCAGAAGCGCCGAUGGAUUCUGGUGGGCUCCGCUUCUAGACAACUGAAGGUGGCGCUUUAACUCUACAAGCUUUUCUAAGACACGUGGGGCUCUCCCCCCAUCCCCCCUUUUUCUCAAGAUCAGUCACUCCCAUCCAAUCUGGCUGAAGAGAAGAGAUGCUGCUUCUCUCCUAGACCCGGGCUGUUG